UCUGAUAACCUAGUUUUGGGGUUACGUUUCGGCCGUAAUUGUGGGCAGUGUUGUUCUAUCAGAG
This 64-nucleotide transfer RNA is filed under the name Paragonimus kellicotti. Its description in RNAcentral is "tRNA-Arg". The record is from RNAcentral. Lineage: Eukaryota; Metazoa; Platyhelminthes; Trematoda; Plagiorchiida; Troglotrematidae.